This 915-nucleotide ribosomal RNA is filed under the name uncultured bacterium. RNAcentral describes it as "bacterial SSU rRNA". It matches the Rfam family "Bacterial small subunit ribosomal RNA", at positions 33 to 932 of the family's 1533-position model. The record is from RNAcentral.
ACGCUGGCGGCGUGCCUAAUACAUGCAAGUAGAACGCUGAAGGAGGAGCUUGCUUCUCUGGAUGAGUUGCGAACGGGUGAGUAACGCGUAGGUAACCUGCCUGGUAGCGGGGGAUAACUAUUGGAAACGAUAGCUAAUACCGCAUAAUAGUAGAUGUUGCAUGACAUUUGCUUAAAAGGUGCAAUUGCAUCACUACCAGAUGGACCUGCGUUGUAUUAGCUAGUUGGUGGGGUAACAGCUCACCAAGGCGACGAUACAUAGCCGACCUGAGAGGGUGAUCGGCCACACUGGGACCGAGACACGGCCCAGACUCCUACGGGAGGCAGCAGUAGGGAAUCUCCGGCAAUGGACGGAAGUCUGACCGAGCAACGCCGCGUGAGUGAAGAAGGUUUUCGGAUCGUAAAGCUCUGUUGUAAGAGAAGAACGAGUGUGAGAGUGGAAAGUUCACACUGUGACGGUAUCUUACCAGAAAGGGACGGCUAACUACGUGCCAGCAGCCGCGGUAAUACGUAGGUCCCGAGCGUUGUCCGGAUUUAUUGGGCGUAGAGCGAGCGCAGGCGGUUAGAUAAGUCUGAAGUUAAAGGCUGUGGCUUAACCAUAGUACGCUUUGGAAACUGUUUAACUUGAGUGCAAGAGGGGAGAGUGGAAUUCCAUGUGUAGCGGUGAAAUGCGUAGAUAUAUGGAGGAACACCGGUGGCGAAAGCGGCUCUCUGGCUUGUAACUGACGCUGAGGCUCGAAAGCGUGGGGAGCAAACAGGAUUAGAUACCCUGGUAGUCCACGCCGUAAACGAUGAGUGCUAGGUGUUAGACCCUUUCCGGGGUUUAGUGCCGCAGCUAACGCAUUAAGCACUCCGCCUGGGGAGUACGACCGCAAGGUUGAAACUCAAAGGAAUUGACGGGGGCCCGCACAAGCGG